Molecule: small nucleolar RNA, 138 nt
Organism: Ornithorhynchus anatinus (platypus)
Lineage: Eukaryota; Metazoa; Chordata; Mammalia; Monotremata; Ornithorhynchidae
Source: RefSeq, a predicted model, not a curated record
CCCCUCUCAGGGUCACACCUGGAUAGUUUCCAGUACUCUACCAGUCUUGACUACAGGAGGGAGAGUCAGUCAGAGGAAUAUCCAUUCCAUUCCUAGUUUGCCCAGUGACUAGUGAGUGGAGGGCAAUCUGCUAAAAGU